This 1334-nucleotide ribosomal RNA is filed under the name Neogoniolithon sp. RNAcentral's name for it is "SSU rRNA". It matches the Rfam family "Eukaryotic small subunit ribosomal RNA", at positions 366 to 1748 of the family's 1831-position model. The record is from RNAcentral. Lineage: Eukaryota; Rhodophyta; Florideophyceae; Corallinales; Spongitidaceae.
GGACCGUGGUGCGGGACUCCGGAGAGGGAGCCUGAGAAACGGCUACCACAUCCAAGGAAGGCAGCAGGCGCGCAAAUUACCCAAUUCAGACAYUGAGAGGUAGUGACAAGAAAUAUCAAUAGGGGACCCUAUGGGUCUUCUAAUUGGAAUGAGAACAAGCUAAACAGCUUAUCGAGAAUCCAGCAGAGGGCAAGUCUGGUGCCAGCAGCCGCGGUAAUUCCAGCUCUGUAAGCGUAUACCAAAGUUGUUGCAGUUAAAACGCUCGUAGUCGGACUUUGGCAGUUCCGGAGGUGUGCGCGUCGAGCGCGCGCCUCGCAGGGACUGCUUUUGUGGUGUAGCAAAGGAUGAGGCACUUCAUUGUGAACGUCCCGCGCUCCCACUCUUUACUGUGAAAAAAAUAAAGUGCUCAAAGCAGGCAUUUGUCAUGAAUAUAUUAGCAUGGAAUAAUAGAAUAGGACUUUGUUCUAUUUUGUUGGUUUGUUGGAUCAAAGUAAUGAUUAAGAGGGACAGUUGGGGGCAUUUGUAUUACGGCGCUAGAGGUGAAAUUCUUAGAUUGCCGUAAGACACACUGCUGCGAAAGCGUCUGCCAAGGAUGUUUUCAUUGAUCAAGAACGAAAGUAAGGGGAUCGAAGACGAUCAGAUACCGUCGUAGUCUUUACUAUAAACGAUGAGGACUGGGGAUCAGGCGAGGAAUUACGAUGACCCGCCUGGCACCCUCCGAGAAAUCAAAGUGUUUGCUUUCUGGGGGGAGUAUGGUCGCAAGUCUGAAACUUAAAGGAAUUGACGGAAGGGCAUCACCGGGUGUGGAGCCUGCGGCUUAAUUUGACUCAACACGGGGAAACUUACCAGGUCAGGAUAUUUGGGAUGAUUGACAGAUUGAGAGCUCUUUCUUGAUUCUAUAGUUGGUGGUGCAUGGCCGUUCUUAGUUGGUGGAGCGAUUUGUCUGGUUAAUUCCGUUAACGAGCGAGACCUGAGCGUGCUAAAUAGGGGCCUCUACCAUUUUGGUAGUGCGAUUCCUCUUCUUARACGGACUGUGGGCGUCUAGCCCACGGAAGCUUCAGGCAAUAACAGGUCUGAGAUGCCCUUAGAUGUUCUGGGCCGCACGCGUGCUACACUGAGUGGAUCAGCGGGUCAGGUUGCGCGAGAGCGUUUCCUAAUCUUCAAAUCCGCUCAUGAUGGGGAUUGACAGUUGCAAUUUUCUGUCAUAAACGAGGAAUACCUUGUAAGCACGGGUCAUCAUCCCGUGCUGAAUACGUCCCUGCCCUUUGUACACACCGCCCGUCGCUCCUACCGAUUGAGUGGUCCGGUGAGGCUUUGGGAUCGCGAUGGAGGGA